GAAGGACGGAUAGAAACUUUGGCAUAGGAACCCUGCCAACCCGGAGAAUUCAGAAUAAAGAAACCCUGAAGGCAGCUCAUCCGCCCCGAAGCCAUCGCCGCCCAAUUCCCGCCGCCUAACUCAUUCCGAUACCACAAGUGGUCAAUCCCUUCAACCUUGAAUUGGCAAACAGGUUUGCGUAUCUCUAUUGUUUAUACUUUCAAUUGGCCAUAUCUACACAUAUAAUGCAUCAUGAUUAAAUGUUG
RNAcentral lists this long non-coding RNA (245 nucleotides) under Lathyrus oleraceus (garden pea). RNAcentral describes it as "Pisum sativum (pea) long non-coding RNA (PSAT_LNC015197)". The record is from RNAcentral. Lineage: Eukaryota; Viridiplantae; Streptophyta; Magnoliopsida; Fabales; Fabaceae.